CAACCCUCAAGCCCUGCUUGGUGUUAGGCCACGCCCGCCGCGGCCGGCCCUAAAGACAGUGGCGGCGCCGCCCGGCUCUCAGCGUAGUACCUCUUCUCGCUGCGGCGCCUGGCGGUGGCAUGCCAGAACCCCCAACUCUGU
Molecule: unclassified non-coding RNA, 141 nt
Filed under: uncultured Oidiodendron
Lineage: Eukaryota; Fungi; Ascomycota; Leotiomycetes; Myxotrichaceae
Description: sequence contains ITS2
Source: RNAcentral